GUAAGUUCGGCGGACUCUUCAGAAAGGAUUGGCCCAAAAAGCUGAUGAUUAUUUGGAAGGCAGGAAUCAGAGUAGAAUGGGUGUUGUUCUGUAGUUUGGACCAUUCAAAGAGUCGGGGAAGUGAGGAAGUUUCCACCAAUCUCAAACUGUACGAGGUGCCCAGCUGCUCAAGCAUGGACCGAGGAGAUGCUCCAUUGACCGGCGAUCUCGAACCCUACAACCUUCCUAGCUCCGUAAGCAUGAGCCGAGAAGAUGACCAACUGGACGCUGAUGACACAAGUCCACUAAGCAAGGACGAGGAGGAAGAGCAGCGAAGGGCCAGACGGCAGAGGGCGUGCUGGAUAAGCUGCACACUUCUCUGUUGUUGUUGCUGUGUAUUCCUUGACGCGUGUUGCAGCCCGUUGAGAUUAUGUUCGAUUGGCUGCAAAGACUGAGAUUCUGGACCGUUGGAGGUCGUUCCCUGUGCGAAUACUCGACUACCAAUACUUGAUAACUGCUGUCUGAGAGCUUCAGCCUUGCAUUACCGCAUGACCUUGCCUGCCUUCUAGUGCCACCGUCUACAAUACGAUUUCAUCCUGUAUUGAACAAUGAUAAUAAUGAUAUUAUCAUCAUUGAAAAAUACGAGGUGAACAGCAUUCCUAACAGUCAGUAGCCUCCUCUAUCGUCGUUCCUUGGAUCUCCAUGGACAUGUGUGCCAUGUCGGACAUGUUGAACUAUCUCGUGAGGUGGAAAGGCUAUUCGCUGAAUUUGUAUAUCACCCGACACUGAUGUUUGUUUUCCUAAUCAUUGUCCGCAGAUUGA
Long non-coding RNA from Sycon ciliatum, 801 nucleotides. RefSeq lists it as uncharacterized. NCBI's taxonomy places the organism in Eukaryota, Metazoa, Porifera, Calcarea, Leucosolenida, Sycettidae. The transcript has 2 exons. The record is from RefSeq and is a predicted model, not a curated record.